CUGGGUGGCCAGGGGUGCAAUGUGGGCAGUGUGAGUGGAGGCGAGGACCAAGGAAAACGUGCUCAGGGCCUACAGAUGGCGCCUACUGCAGGAGUCACGCCAAGCACCACAUUUCAACCCAAGUGUGACCACCGGGGGCCAUAUGGGAAUCCAUCCCAUGCCUGGCCUUACGCAGAGGGGCAGAGCUCAGGUCACUGAGUCCUUGUAGAAAGGCCGAUGUCUCACUCUGCAGCCGGGACACGGGGCCUGGCUGGCAUGGGGCAGUGCUCACCUAACAGACCCACAGGAAGUGAGCGGCCUGCAGGCCUGCAGGAAAGAACCCGUGAAGGCGCGGAAGUCAAUGUCCCUGGGAGGAGGCAGGGCCAGGAGAACCGCCUCCAAGGGCUUUCAGGUGGCUGGGCACAGGAAGGUCUACUCUCUGUGACUCCCAAGGUCCAGAGCAAGGCCAGGGGAGGAAGAUUCUCCACCGCCAUGGCAACACCCGAAGAGGGAAGAAGCUGGAAUAUGGAGAGCCUGCCGACAGGGGACCUGCCGGAGGGACCUGCCCUAGACGUGUGCGGGCUAAGCAUGUGCUCCACUCUGAGCUGCACCCCAGCCCUGGGUUUUCCUCUGAAGGAAGACGAGGAUGGUGGAAAAGUGGGGGCUUGAGGGGAAACCGAGGCAAGAAGAGUUCUGGUAAAAGCACAGCGCAACCCAUGCCUUUAAAGAGCACCACAAUUAAAUGUUUCAAUGCAUCCUGUGAGGCUUCAGAUGGUGGGACUUCAUUCCUAAUCAGGGGUGGGACAAAGUUGGGAAGGAGGGCCACAGAGGGACUGCAGUGAGCCAGGCAAAGGGAGCCAGGUCAGGUGUGGAGGCAGAAGGGACAUCCACAAAGGGCCCGAGUGAGGCAGCAGCUGGAAGCCAUGAGGAGCAGCCAAAGGGCUGGGGCUUCUUCAGGAAGUCCAACCUGCCUACCCCGCCCGGGGGGGGUCAGGAGCAGGCACCCAGUUAGGUGGCUACCUCAGGGGUCUGGCAGAGGACAAGAGUGGCACGGACUGGGGGAGGGUGGCUUGGGAAGGAGCAAGUGGACGGAGUGGGGAUGUAUGAGGGAAAUAAAACCCAGUGGAGGGAAGUGGCCCUUGUCCCCAGGAAGGAUAUGGACUUGAACACUGAUGUCACUGUCCAGCUGUGUGGCUGGCUCCCCGCGCUGCUGAGGGGACCCCACCCUUUGUCCUCAAGUGUCCACAAGGAAACUUCUACUCUAUUCCCCAGAAGAGGAGGCCUUGGAGUCACCCCCUGCCCCUCUCUGAGCCCUUCCUCCUGGUGGGUGAUGCUCGGCCUGAUGAGGUGGGGAGGGUCUGACACAGGACACAUCCAUCGCUCUCUCGGGGUGAGGGACUAGAGGCUGAAACCAGGGCGAUUUUCCCUGUGGCCAGCCCUUCUCUCUUGGGGAGUCGGCCCAGUAUGGACC
This 1450-nucleotide long non-coding RNA is filed under the name Ictidomys tridecemlineatus (thirteen-lined ground squirrel). RNAcentral describes it as "lncRNA (ENSSTOG00000032255.1)". Lineage: Eukaryota; Metazoa; Chordata; Mammalia; Rodentia; Sciuridae. The record is from RNAcentral.